UUCAUUGAAUGGGGAAGGCCAAGAUUCUUCAUCUUCUCAGGGUAGUGCAAAGGUCAAAAUCCCCCACCUCCACCCCUUGCAUUCUGGGAUCCUGAGCAUCGAAAGAAAGAUGUAUAAUUCUUUGAUUAAGAAAUCAGAGGUUUUGACUACCAAAUAUUUAAAAUCUACUUUGUUUUGAUAAGGAUGAUACAAAAUAUGACUGAUUUGUUGACCCUAUGCUUUUUCCCACCCUCUUAUUAAGAUUGUGUAUCCAUUUACGACCCUUUAGUAUUUU
RNAcentral lists this long non-coding RNA (274 nucleotides) under Glycine max (soybean). Its description in RNAcentral is "long non-coding RNA (GMAX_LNC003155)". Lineage: Eukaryota; Viridiplantae; Streptophyta; Magnoliopsida; Fabales; Fabaceae. The record is from RNAcentral.